RNAcentral lists this ribosomal RNA (233 nucleotides) under uncultured bacterium. Its description in RNAcentral is "partial 16S ribosomal RNA". It matches the Rfam family "Bacterial small subunit ribosomal RNA", at positions 118 to 347 of the family's 1533-position model. The record is from RNAcentral.
UGAGUAACCUGCCCUUAACUCUGGGAUAAUCCUGGGAAACUGGGUCUAAUACCGGAUAUGACUCCUCAUCGCAUGGUGGGGGGUGGAAAGCUUUAUUGUGGUUUUGGAUGGACUCGCGGCCUAUCAGCUUGUUGGUGAGGUAAUGGCUCACCAAGGCGACGACGGGUAGCCGGCCUGAGAGGGUGACCGGCCACACUGGGACUGAGACACGGCCCAGACUCCUACGGGAGCAG